This 292-nucleotide ribosomal RNA is filed under the name uncultured bacterium. Its description in RNAcentral is "partial 16S ribosomal RNA". The record is from RNAcentral.
GGACUACCAGGGUAUCUAAUCCCGUUUGCUCCCCUGGCUUUCGCGCCUCAGCGUCAGGAAAGGUCCAGUGCGUCGCUUUCGCCACCGGCGUUCCUCGGGAUAUCUACGCAUUUCACCGCUCCACCCUGAGUUCCACGCACCCCUACCUCCCUCCAGGCAGGCAGUAUCAAAGGCUAUUUUCCAGUUGAGCUGAAAGAUUUCACCCCUGACUUGCCUGUCCGCCUACGCGCCCUUUAAGCCCAGUGAAUCCGAACAACGUUUGCACGGUUCGUCUUACCGCGGCUGCUGGCAC